CCAGAACAAUAAGUCAUCCUCAAGUACCGCUAUUUCUGCACUAUCCAUGACCCUUACCAAAAGAAGAACCCUAAUCCUAACAAUCACACGCACACUCCAAACGUCAGGUACAUGAAUUGGAACCCUAAACCUGAACCUACUCCUAACCCUAACCCUAAAACUAAGGCGCAGGACCAAAUCCCCAUUCCCAGGUGGUUGACAAGUGACCUUAUCCCUCCCCGUCCCACCGAACUUACGCUAAUACUAACUUUCCAACCCACACUGGAAGACACAGGCAUUUC
This 281-nucleotide long non-coding RNA is filed under the name Heterocephalus glaber (naked mole-rat). RNAcentral's name for it is "lncRNA (ENSHGLG00100052263.1)". The record is from RNAcentral. Lineage: Eukaryota; Metazoa; Chordata; Mammalia; Rodentia; Bathyergidae.